GACGAACGCUGGCGGCGGGCUUAACACAUGCAAGUCGAACGGAAGGGCCCUGCUUUUGUGGGGUGCUCGAGUGGCGAACGGGUGAGUAACACGUGAGUAACCUGCCCUUGACUUUGGGAUAACUUCAGGAAACUGGGGCUAAUACCGGAUAGGAGCUCCUGCUGCAUGGUGGGGGUGGGAAAGUUUCGGCGGUUGGGGAUGGACUCGCGGCUUAUCAGCUUGUUGGUGGGGUAGUGGCUUACCAAGGCUUUGACGGGUAGGCGGCCUGGGAGGGUGACCGGCCACAUUGGGACUGAGAUACGGCCCAGACUCCUACGGGAGGCAGCAGUGGGGAAUAUUGCACAAUGGGCGGAAGCCUGAUGCAGCAGCGCCGCGUGCGGGAUGACGGCCUUCGGGUUGUAAACCGCUUUCGCCUGUGACGAAGCGUGAGUGACGGUAAUGGGUAAAGAAGCACCGGCUAACUACGUG
RNAcentral lists this ribosomal RNA (468 nucleotides) under uncultured bacterium. Its description in RNAcentral is "partial 16S ribosomal RNA". It matches the Rfam family "Bacterial small subunit ribosomal RNA", at positions 28 to 507 of the family's 1533-position model. The record is from RNAcentral.